This 618-nucleotide ribosomal RNA is filed under the name uncultured Sulfuritalea sp. RNAcentral describes it as "bacterial SSU rRNA". It matches the Rfam family "Bacterial small subunit ribosomal RNA", at positions 335 to 944 of the family's 1533-position model. The record is from RNAcentral. Lineage: Bacteria; Pseudomonadati; Pseudomonadota; Betaproteobacteria; Nitrosomonadales; Sterolibacteriaceae.
ACUCCUACGGGAGGCAGCAGUGGGGAAUUUUGGACAAUGGGGGCAACCCUGAUCCAGCCAUUCCGCGUGAGUGAAGAAGGCCUUCGGGUUGUAAAGCUCUUUCAGCAGGAACGAAACGGUGGCUACUAAUACUAGCUACUAAUGACGGUACCUGAAGAAGAAGCACCGGCUAACUACGUGCCAGCAGCCGCGGUAAUACGUAGGGUGCGAGCGUUAAUCGGAAUUACUGGGCGUAAAGCGUGCGCAGGCGGUUAUGUAAGACAGGUGUGAAAUCCCCGGGCUUAACCUGGGAACUGCGCUUGUGACUGCAUAACUCGAGUGUGGCAGAGGGGGGUGGAAUUCCACGUGUAGCAGUGAAAUGCGUAGAGAUGUGGAGGAACACCGAUGGCGAAGGCAGCCCCCUGGGUCAACACUGACGCUCAUGCACGAAAGCGUGGGGAGCAAACAGGAUUAGAUACCCUGGUAGUCCACGCCCUAAACGAUGCGAACUAGGUGUUGGGGAAGGAGACUUUCUUAGUACCGCAGCUAACGCGUGAAGUUCGCCGCCUGGGGAGUACGGUCGCAAGAUUAAAACUCAAAGGAAUUGACGGGGACCCGCACAAGCGGUGGAUGAUGUGG